RNAcentral lists this ribosomal RNA (493 nucleotides) under uncultured bacterium. RNAcentral's name for it is "partial 16S ribosomal RNA". It matches the Rfam family "Bacterial small subunit ribosomal RNA", at positions 28 to 507 of the family's 1533-position model. The record is from RNAcentral.
GACGAACGCUGGCGGCGUGCCUAACACAUGCAAGUUGAGCGACGAACCAGGGCUUGCCCUGGGGCAUAGCAGCGAACGGGUGAGUAACACGUGGGUAACCUACCCCGAUAACCGGGACAACCCGAGGAAACUCGGGCUAAUACCGGAUGUGCUCACUGGACUUCGGUUCAGUGCGUAAAGGAAGCUUCGGCCUCCGUAUCGGGAGGGGCCCGCGGCCCAUUAGUUUGUUGGUGAGGUAACGGCUCACCAAGACCGCGAUGGGUAGCUGGUCUGAGAGGACGAUCAGCCACACUGGGACUGAGACACGGCCCAGACUCCUACGGGAGGCAGCAGUGGGGAAUCUUGCGCAAUGCGCGAAAGCGUGACGCAGCAACGCCGCGUGGGGGAAGAAGGCCUUCGGGUUGUAAACCCCUUUCAGGAGGGACGAAGGUUCGGCGGUGAAUAGCCGUCCGGACUGACGGUACCUCCACAAGAAGCCCCGGCUAACUACGUG